UACAGAGGGUGCAAGCGUUAAUCGGAAUUACUGGGCGUAAAGCGUGCGUAGACGGUUAUGUAAGUCGGGUGUGAAAGCCCCGGGCUCAACCUGGGAAUUGCAUUCGAGACUGCAUAGCUAGGGUGCGGAAGAGGGAAGCGGAAUUUCCGGUGUAGCGGUGAAAUGCGUAGAUAUCGGAAGGAACACCAGUGGCGAAAGCGGCUUCCUGGUCCAGCACCGACGUUCAGGCACGAAAGCGUGGGGAGCAAACGGG
Molecule: ribosomal RNA, 253 nt
Filed under: uncultured bacterium
Lineage: Bacteria
Description: partial 16S ribosomal RNA
Rfam family: Bacterial small subunit ribosomal RNA
Source: RNAcentral